RNAcentral lists this ribosomal RNA (1860 nucleotides) under human gut metagenome. RNAcentral's name for it is "bacterial LSU rRNA". It matches the Rfam family "Bacterial large subunit ribosomal RNA", at positions 813 to 2674 of the family's 2925-position model. The record is from RNAcentral.
GGGUAGCGGAGAAAUUCCAAUCGAACUUGGAGAUAGCUGGUUCUCUCCGAAAUAGCUUUAGGGCUAGCCUCAAGUGAUGAUUAUUGGAGGUAGAGCACUGUUUGGACGAGGGGCCCCUCUCGGGUUACCGAAUUCAGACAAACUCCGAAUGCCAAUUAAUUUAACUUGGGAGUCAGAACAUGGGUGAUAAGGUCCGUGUUCGAAAGGGAAACAGCCCAGACCACCAGCUAAGGUCCCAAAAUAUAUGUUAAGUGGAAAAGGAUGUGGCGUUGCCCAGACAACUAGGAUGUUGGCUUAGAAGCAGCCAUCAUUUAAAGAGUGCGUAAUAGCUCACUAGUCGAGUGACACUGCGCCGAAAAUGUACCGGGGCUAAACAUAUUACCGAAGCUGUGGAUUGUCCGUAGGACAAUGGUAGGAGAGCGUUCUAAGGGCGUUGAAGCAUGAUCGCAAGGACAUGUGGAGCGCUUAGAAGUGAGAAUGCCGGUGUGAGUAGCGAAAGACGGGUGAGAAUCCCGUCCACCGAUUGACUAAGGUUUCCAGAGGAAGGCUCGUCCGCUCUGGGUUAGUCGGGUCCUAAGCUGAGGCCGACAGGCGUAGGCGAUGGAUAACAGGUUGAUAUUCCUGUACCACCUAGCAUCGUUUUAAUCGAUGGGGGGACGCAGUAGGAUAGGCGAAGCGUACGAUUGGAUUGUACGUCCAAGCAGUGAGAUUGAGUGUUAGGCAAAUCCGGCACUCUUAAGAUUGAGCUGUGAUGGGGAGAGGAAAUUGUUUCCUCGAGUCGUUGAUUUCACACUGCCGAGAAAAGCCUCUAGAUAGAUAAUAGGUGCCCGUACCGCAAACCGACACAGGUAGUCAAGAUGAGAAUUCUAAGGUGAGCGAGCGAACUCUCGUUAAGGAACUCGGCAAAAUGACCCCGUAACUUCGGGAGAAGGGGUGCUCUUUAGGGUGCAAGCCCAGAAGAGCCGCAGUGAAUAGGCCCAAGCGACUGUUUAUCAAAAACACAGGUCUCUGCUAAACCGUAAGGUGAUGUAUAGGGGCUGACGCCUGCCCGGUGCUGGAAGGUUAAGAGGAGUGGUUAGCUUCUGCGAAGCUACGAAUCGAAGCCCCAGUAAACGGCGGCCGUAACUAUAACGGUCCUAAGGUAGCGAAAUUCCUUGUCGGGUAAGUUCCGACCCGCACGAAAGGCGUAACGAUUUGGGCACUGUCUCAACGAGAGACUCGGUGAAAUCAUAGUACCUGUGAAGAUGCAGGUUACCCGCGACAGGACGGAAAGACCCCGUGGAGCUUUACUGUAGCCUGAUAUUGAAAUUCGGCACAGCUUGUACAGGAUAGGUAGGAGCCUUUGAAACGUGAGCGCUAGCUUACGUGGAGGCGCUGGUGGGAUACUACCCUAGCUGUGUUGGCUUUCUAACCCGCACCACUUAUCGUGGUGGGAGACAGUGUCAGGCGGGCAGUUUGACUGGGGCGGUCGCCUCCUAAAAGGUAACGGAGGCGCUCAAAGGUUCCCUCAGAAUGGUUGGAAAUCAUUCAUAGAGUGUAAAGGCAUAAGGGAGCUUGACUGCGAGACCUACAAGUCGAGCAGGGUCGAAAGACGGACUUAGUGAUCCGGUGGUUCCGCAUGGAAGGGCCAUCGCUCAACGGAUAAAAGCUACCCCGGGGAUAACAGGCUUAUCUCCCCCAAGAGUUCACAUCGACGGGGAGGUUUGGCACCUCGAUGUCGGCUCAUCGCAUCCUGGGGCUGUAGUCGGUCCCAAGGGUUGGGCUGUUCGCCCAUUAAAGCGGUACGCGAGCUGGGUUCAGAACGUCGUGAGACAGUUCGGUCCCUAUCCGUCGUGGGCGUAGGAAAUUUGAGAGGAGCUG